AGAGUUUGAUCCUGGCUCAGGAUGAACGCUGGCGGCGUGCCUAAUACAUGCAAGUCGAGCGAACGGACGAGAAGCUUGCUUCUCUGAUGUUAGCGGCGGACGGGUGAGUAACACGUGGAUAACCUACCUAUAAGACUGGGAUAACUUCGGGAAACCGUAGCUAAUACCGGAUAAUAUUUUGAACCGCAUGGUUCAAAAGUGAAAGACGGUCUUGCUGUCACUUAUAGAUGGAUCCGCGCUGCAUUAGCUAGUUGGUAAGGUAACGGCUUACCAAGGCAACGAUGCAUAGCCGACCUGAGAGGGUGAUCGGCCACACUGGAACUGAGACACGGUCCAGACUCCUACGGGAGGCAGCAGUAGGGAAUCUUCCGCAAUGGGCGAAAGCCUGACGGAGCAACGCCGCGUGAGUGAUGAAGGUCUUCGGAUCGUAAAACUCUGUUAUUAGGGAAGAACAUAUGUGUAAGUAACUGUGCACAUCUUGACGGUACCUAAUCAGAAAGCCACGGCUAACUACGUGCCAGCAGCCGCGGUAAUACGUAGGUGGCAAGCGUUAUCCGGAAUUAUUGGGCGUAAAGCGCGCGUAGGCGGUUUUUUAAGUCUGAUGUGAAAGCCCACGGCUCAACCGUGGAGGGUCAUUGGAAACUGGAAAACUUGAGUGCAGAAGAGGAAAGUGGAAUUCCAUGUGUAGCGGUGAAAUGCGCAGAGAUAUGGAGGAACACCAGUGGCGAAGGCGACUUUCUGGUCUGUAACUGACGCUGAUGUGCGAAAGCGUGGGGAUCAAACAGGAUUAGAUACCCUGGUAGUCCACGCCGUAAACGAUGAGUGCUAAGUUUUAGGGGGUUUCCGCCCCUUAGUGCUGCAGCUAACGCAUUAAGCACUCCGCCUGGGGAGUACGACCGCAAGGUUGAAACUCAAAGGAAUUGACGGGGACCCGCACAAGCGGUGGAGCAUGUGGUUUAAUUCGAAGCAACGCGAAGAACCUUACCAAAUCUUGACAUCCUUUGACAACUCUAGAGAUAGAGCCUUCCCCUUCGGGGGACAAAGUGACAGGUGGUGCAUGGUUGUCGUCAGCUCGUGUCGUGAGAUGUUGGGUUAAGUCCCGCAACGAGCGCAACCCUUAAGCUUAGUUGCCAUCAUUAAGUUGGGCACUCUAAGUUGACUGCCGGUGACAAACCGGAGGAAGGUGGGGAUGACGUCAAAUCAUCAUGCCCCUUAUGAUUUGGGCUACACACGUGCUACAAUGGACAAUACAAAGGGCAGCGAAACCGCGAGGUCAAGCAAAUCCCAUAAAGUUGUUCUCAGUUCGGAUUGUAGUCUGCAACUCGACUACAUGAAGCUGGAAUCGCUAGUAAUCGUAGAUCAGCAUGCUACGGUGAAUACGUUCCCGGGUCUUGUACACACCGCCCGUCACACCACGAGAGUUUGUAACACCCGAAGCCGGUGGAGUAACCUUUUAGGAGCUAGCCGUCGAAGGUGGGACAAAUGAUUGGGGUGAAGUCGUAACAAGGUAGCCGUAUCGGAAGGUGCGGCUGGAUCACCU
Molecule: ribosomal RNA, 1540 nt
Filed under: Staphylococcus aureus WAMC6043
Lineage: Bacteria; Bacillati; Bacillota; Bacilli; Caryophanales; Staphylococcaceae
Description: 16S ribosomal RNA
Rfam family: Bacterial small subunit ribosomal RNA
Source: RNAcentral